UUGGCUUCCCCCCUCUCGCUUUUCACUUUCCCUCUCGCUCAUUCUCUUUCCCUCUCACUUGUUUUCUCAAUUGAAUCCCAAAAACCAUCAAAGCCCUAAUUUCUAACUUCUGGACUCACUGCGUUUCAUCUCUGCUCAGAGUCGGUGGCCGUCUCGCACUCCAAGCUCCGAUUCGUUCUUCCAGGCUCUGAUUUGGUGUGUUGGUGGUGGUUGUCUCGCACUCAACAUCAUUGUUCCUCUUCCAGGCUCUGAUUUGGUGUUGGUGGUGGCCCUCUCGCACUCAACAUCAUUGUUUGGACGCCAGUGUUAAGUUUCUCAUUGUGUUUGUGACCUGUGUUCGUGACACUCUCUAUUGUGGUUCAGGUUAGCGAUGUAGGCUCCCCGAAUGAAGUAAGGCGAUCUUCAUCCGCCAGUCAUCAACCUGUAAACAAUGGACCAUCUACUUAGUUUUAUGUAAGGUGAACAUGUUCUAAUGGGAGGGAGCA
Molecule: long non-coding RNA, 485 nt
Organism: Lotus japonicus
Lineage: Eukaryota; Viridiplantae; Streptophyta; Magnoliopsida; Fabales; Fabaceae
Exons: 7
Source: RefSeq, a predicted model, not a curated record